RNAcentral lists this ribosomal RNA (253 nucleotides) under uncultured bacterium. Its description in RNAcentral is "partial 16S ribosomal RNA". It matches the Rfam family "Bacterial small subunit ribosomal RNA", at positions 524 to 776 of the family's 1533-position model. The record is from RNAcentral.
UACGGGGGGGGCAAGCGUUGUUCGGAAUUACUGGGCGUAAAGGGCUCGUAGGCGGCCAACUAAGUCAGACGUGAAAUCCCUCGGCUUAACCGGGGAACUGCAUCUGAUACUGGAUGGCUUGAGUUCGGGAGAGGGAUGCGGAAUUCCAGGUGUAGCGGUGAAAUGCGUAGAUAUCUGGAGGAACAUCGGUGGCGAAGGCGGCAUCCUGGACCGGUAUUGACGCUGAGGCGCGAAAGCCAGGGGAGCAAACGGG